RNAcentral lists this ribosomal RNA (492 nucleotides) under uncultured bacterium. RNAcentral's name for it is "partial 16S ribosomal RNA". It matches the Rfam family "Bacterial small subunit ribosomal RNA", at positions 28 to 507 of the family's 1533-position model. The record is from RNAcentral.
GAUGAACGCUGGCGGCGGGCCUAAUACAUGCAAGUCGAGCGGACAGACGAUAAGCUUUCGCCUCUAACGGUAGCGGCUGGCGGGUGGGUGAGACGUGCAUAACCUACCUAUAAUUCGUGGAGGAUUUCGGGAAGACAGAGCCAAUACUGGCUAAUAUGUUCAACGGCAGGAAGCAGUAGAUAUUCGCACCUUUCCUGUCAGUUAUAGAUGGGGUCGGAUUAGCUAGUUGACGGGGUAAAGGCCUACCAAGGCAACGAUACGUAGCUGAUCUGAGAGGAUGAUCGGCCACACUGGAACUGAGACACGGUCCAGACUCCUACGGGAGGCAGCAGUGGGGAAUAUUGGGCAAUGGGCGAAAGCCUGACGCAGCAAUGCCGCGUGAGUGAUGAAGGCCUUCGGAUCGUAAAACUCUGUUAUUAGGGAAGAACAACUGUGUAAGAAACUACGGCCGUUUUGACGGUACCUAAUGAGAAAGCACCGGCUAACUACGUG